AAAGGCUUAAGUUAAUAAAAACUAAAAGCCUUCAAAGCUUUAAAUGGUAACCCCAGCCUUUA
This 62-nucleotide transfer RNA is filed under the name Unio crassus. Its description in RNAcentral is "tRNA-Trp". Lineage: Eukaryota; Metazoa; Mollusca; Bivalvia; Unionida; Unionidae. The record is from RNAcentral.